UACGAAGGGUGCAAGCGUUACUCGGAAUUACUGGGCGUAAAGCGUGCGUAGGUGGUUCGUUAAGUCCGAUGUGAAAGCCCUGGGCUCAACCUGGGAAUGGCAUUGGAUACUGGCGGGCUAGAGUGCGGUGGAGGGUAGUGGAAUUCCCGGUGUAGCAGUGAAAUGCGUAGAGAUCGGGAGGAACAUCCGUGGCGAAGGCGACUACCUGGACCAGCACUGACACUGAGGCACGAAAGUGCGGGGAUCAAACAGG
RNAcentral lists this unclassified non-coding RNA (253 nucleotides) under uncultured Lysobacteraceae bacterium. Its description in RNAcentral is "uncultured Xanthomonadaceae bacterium contains 16S-23S intergenic spacer region". It matches the Rfam family "Bacterial small subunit ribosomal RNA", at positions 524 to 776 of the family's 1533-position model. Lineage: Bacteria; Pseudomonadati; Pseudomonadota; Gammaproteobacteria; Lysobacterales; Lysobacteraceae. The record is from RNAcentral.